This is a non-coding RNA of Equus caballus (horse), 1187 nucleotides long. The record is from the annotation of a RefSeq genome assembly. Lineage: Eukaryota; Metazoa; Chordata; Mammalia; Perissodactyla; Equidae.
UGGACCUUCAGCCAUGAGGAGACACUGUGGACUCACAGUCCUAACUGCAAGGCACCCUGGGAAGGUUGAGAGUGGCCCAGGAGGGGCCAGUUAAGGGAAUUCUUGGUCAUGCCUGCAUCAGGCAGGGGGUUUGAGUUCACUGGGUUCACUGGUCCUGGGACACGUUGAGCUAACAGGCUCCUCACUGCCCAGGGAAGUGGAGACCUGCCUUGAACCUCAGUGAGCACCAAGCGGGCUGUCUCCUGAAGCCUGCACAGGAUGUGGAGGGCGAAGGGGUUGGGGCAGCAAGUACUGGGUAACUGGUGUCAGGCAGGGGCAGGCAGAGGGAAAUCAGGCAUGUUGUGGGCUAUAGGGGUGGCGAUCUGUUCACACCCACUCAUUGUUGAGGGGCUGUGCAGGACAGGAAUGACACAUAGAGUAGUCAACCCUGAGUUCUGCUGAGGGCAACAGUGGACUGGGAGGGGUUUUCUGAGAGAGAAACAGCAGAACAAUGACAUCAAGCAGGGAUGUCAUAGGCAAAUGCUCCUAUCCGGAAAAGGGGUGGUUCAGACCACUAAACCCCACCCCUGAGCUAGGAGAUGUCUUGGGUUCCUGAUGCUGCCAUGGGCUACAGGCUCCUCUGCUAUGUUGCUCUUUGUCUCCUGGGAGCAGGCCCAGUGGAUUCUGGAGUCAUCCAAACCCCAAGACACGUGGUCAAAGCAAAAAGACAGCAAGUGAUGCUGAAAUGUUCCCCUAUUUCUGAGCAUGACACUGUAUCUUGGUACCAACAGGCUCUGGGCCAGGGCCCCAAGUUCCUCAUUCAGUAUUACAAUGGGGAGGUGAGAGAAAAAGGAGAUAUCCCAGAUCGAUUCUCAGGGCAGCAGUUCGGUAACCGAAGCUCUGAGCUGAACCUGACCAUCCUGGAGCUGACGGACUCUGCCCUGUAUCUCUGUGCCAGUAGCUUGGCACAGCGCUGCAGGGGCAGCAGCCAACAGCACAAAAACAUUCCUGCCCUAGCUCAGGAAGUGAUUGCGAGGGUGGCAGCUGCCAGCCAGACAGGCUCGGUCCCUCAUAUAUCAGACAGGCCUUCCACUCACACUCCUCCUGGUGCUUAUAUGUGCUGUGUUUUGUGCUCACAGAAAUCAUGCAAAAUAAAUGUUAUUUUCCUUGUUUACAUAUGUGAGGGGAAGUAACGUUCCAGGGUCCCA